AACGAACGCUGGCGGCAUGCCUAACACAUGCAAGUCGAACGAGACCUUCGGGUCUAGUGGCGCACGGGUGCGUAACGCGUGGUAACCUGCCCUUAGGUUAGGAAUCACUCCCCGAAAGGGGUGCUAAUACCGGAUAAUCUCUUCGGAUCAAAGAUUUAUCGCCUUUGGAUGGGCCCGCGUUGGAUUAGCUAGUUGGUAGGGUAAAAGCCUACCAAGGCGACGAUCCAUAGCUGGUCUGAGAGGAUGAUCAGCCACACUGGGACUGAGACACGGCCCAGACUCCUACGGGAGGCAGCAGUGUAGAAUACUGGACAAUGAGCGAAGGCCUGAUCAAGCAAUGUCGCGUGUGCGGGGAAUGCCUUUGUGUAGUAAAGCUCUUUUACCCGAGAUGAUAAUGACGGUACCGGGAAAAGAAGCACCGGCUAACUCCGUG
Molecule: ribosomal RNA, 433 nt
Filed under: uncultured bacterium
Lineage: Bacteria
Description: partial 16S ribosomal RNA
Rfam family: Bacterial small subunit ribosomal RNA
Source: RNAcentral